CCUACGGGAGGCAGCAGUGGGGAAUAUUGCACAAUGGGCGAAAGCCUGAUGCAGCAACGCCGCGUGAGCGAUGAAGGCCUUCGGGUCGUAAAGCUCUGUCCUCAAGGAAGAUAAUGACGGUACCUGAGGAGGAAGCCCCGGCUAACUACGUGCCAGCAGCCGCGGUAAUACGUAGGGGGCGAGCGUUAUCCGGAGUUACUGGGCGUAAAGGGUGCGUAGGUGGUUUCUUAAGUCAGAGGUGAAAGGCUACGGCUAAACCGUUGUAAGCCUUUGAAACUGGGGAACUUGAGUGGAGUAGAGGAAGGCGGAAUUCCUGGUGUAGCGGUGAAAUGCGUAGAGAUUGGGAGGAACACCAGUGGCGAAGGCGGCCCACUGGGCUUUAACUGACGCUGAGGCACGAAAGCGUGGGGAGCAAACAGGAUUAGAUACCCCAGUAGUC
RNAcentral lists this ribosomal RNA (439 nucleotides) under uncultured bacterium. Its description in RNAcentral is "partial 16S ribosomal RNA". It matches the Rfam family "Bacterial small subunit ribosomal RNA", at positions 338 to 795 of the family's 1533-position model. The record is from RNAcentral.